UACGUAGGGUGCGAGCGUUAAUCGGAAUUACUGGGCGUAAAGCGUGCGCAGGCGGUUUUGUAAGCCAGAUGUGAAAUCCCCGGGCUCAACCUGGGAAUGGCAUUUGGGACUGCAAGGCUGGAGUGCGGCAGAGGAGACUGGAAUUCCUGGUGUAGCAGUGAAAUGCGUAGAUAUCAGGAGGAACACCGGUGGCGAAGGCGGCUUCCUGGACCGACACUGACGCUGAGGCGCGAAAGCUAGGGGAGCAAACGGG
This 253-nucleotide ribosomal RNA is filed under the name uncultured bacterium. Its description in RNAcentral is "partial 16S ribosomal RNA". It matches the Rfam family "Bacterial small subunit ribosomal RNA", at positions 524 to 776 of the family's 1533-position model. The record is from RNAcentral.